UAUUCAAAGAAACCUUUAGCUGUUGGA
This 27-nucleotide small RNA is filed under the name Bombyx mori (domestic silkworm). RNAcentral's name for it is "ovarian small RNA-24139". Lineage: Eukaryota; Metazoa; Arthropoda; Insecta; Lepidoptera; Bombycidae. The record is from RNAcentral.